CAGAAACUUGAGUGCAGGUUAUUUCAUUUCAUCCUCUAAAAAAAAAACAAAAAACAAAAAACUAUCAACUGCUAGACUGGGUGUGAUCCUCAUUUUAUGCAAGCUCAGAGCAGUAAAGGGAACUGUCCAAGGUCAUGGGGCUGGUAAGAAGCUGAAUUGGAACCUGACACCACGCCUGCCUGCACCUAAAAGGUUUUCACCACUCUGCAGAAUGUUAUAUUCAUACCCAGGCACGCUUUUCUCUUUCUUCAAGGGGCGUAUGUGCCAUCCCUCUGCCUUCUGGAUGCAUCUUCCCCUUCCUAGGUGGCUCUUUCUCAUUCUUUCCUAAGGCCUUUCUUCCUCUGAGAGCAGGGGCCUGCUAUCUCCUCUCCAGAUCUGUCACAGGCCAGCCUUCUGCACUUGCUGCAAGCUGAUGCCCAGCCAGCUCUGCCUCUCCUCUCUGCCGAUGCUCCUGACGCAGACAACUGCAGUGACUACGCCCUUCCUCAGCCCCCACACUCCUCAAAAAGUGCUUUUCUGGGUUUCCACGACUGCCUCCCUUCCUCCCCAAAACGAUUCUCCAUCCGAGGAAUAUUUGAAACAGCUGCUGCCCGUCCUAAUGUGCCAGGGCUGAGAUUGCUGCUGGAACUUCCCAGGGCUGCUGCAGUAACCCCGCCCCACUCCUGGGAAGAAGAUUCUAGAGGAAAAUAUAGGUAAAGGCUGUCCUUGCAUUGUGAAUGUCCAGCCCAGGGGAAUACUUGGCACAUGGUAAAUGCUCGAAUAUAUUGUAUGAAUGAAUGAAGAUAAUGAAUGAAUGAAUGAAUGAAUGAAUGAAUGAAUGAAGAUAAAAAGGGAAUAGGAUCCAGUUCCUGUGUCUUCUGAAUCUGGAAUGUGGCAUGACCUUCUUUUCUACCCUGUUCUCCUAAAAUUGUCAUGGAUUUAUAGCAUGGUGGUAGGCUAGUGGGUAGGAAAGGGGCUGACAUCUAAGAGCCCUCUGUAUACUGAACACUGUGAGUGUUUUCAGGUAUGCCUUCUCCCUUUGCCUCCCAGUACCCUGAUAAGAAAGCAUUUGUCUUUGUUUUUACAUAGGAGGAAAUGAAAACACAGCCAUCAGGUGACUCAACCAGUUAAUACGGUGAAUAGGGAAAGAGCUGGGAUUUGAACUACAGAUAGGGUAGAAUGUCCUUAUGGGAUUUUAACUGUUGUACCAUGGUCAGACUCAACAGGUAGUAUUUAAUAUCAGAAGUUAAAAAGGACCUGGCACAUAAAUGCUCAAAUAUUACAACUCAGCUCCCCAAGGUGCAUGUAUAAGAAUUGCGCGUGCCUAGUCAUACUCACUCGGCUAAGCUAGGAGAAGGCAGUGGUCACCAGGGCUUGACCAGUAUCUGCCUCUGAACCUGAUUAGAGUUGACCCCAGCUCUGACGUUAGGAUGGUAAACACUGUAGACAUAAGUUAGGAGGUGACUGGGGCUUCACCAGUCCUUGAAAACACUGUGACACCCAGAACAGUCACAGCAAGUGGGGACAGACACUUUGUUUCGAAUAUUCAGAGACAUCUCAGGAGGUAAGUGUGGUCAUUGGUCCGUAGCCAGAGGAGGUCAGCUAAAGCGCCUCCCCCAGCCCUCAGAUAGCAUAUUCAAUAACACCACUUGACUUUAUCCUGAUCAAAACAGACAGCCAAGCCCACAGGGAAGACAGCAAACCUUAACUCAAGGACACAAAACGACCCAGCAAGGGCAACAUGAAUGCACUGGCCCUAGCAUUUGUAGUGGCUCUGUCUGGGGGGACAUGGGAGAGGCAGUCUGCCUGCACUGUCACUAGCAUUUUAUUUUAAAAUGCGGUGUGGGUGGAUGAAAUUGAAAUCUACUUGCCACCAGACAGGAUGACACUGUUGCAGGGCAUGAAUCAGGUUAUCUGAAGGUUGUGAUGGAUUAGGAAAGGCUCUCUCCUGCUGACAACAGGGUAAGUUCCUGCCAAUUCCGCAGUGAUCAGAGGAGACAGAGCAUUUUUUUUUUUUUUUGGUCUUUUCUUCUCUCUUUUCUGAGCAUGGAGGAGGGAAUGAGCAGAGGCAAAGGCAGGCCUUCAAAUUCAGUAAUCCUUGGCUGUUGCUGGCAGAGUCAUUUCCCCACUUCUUUCUUUGCCCUUGCUUCCUCCUGCUGUGGGGUGGGGGCAUGGGGGACAGAAACCGGCCCCCAUCUCAGCAGCUGCCCCUGAAUAACUGAGGAAGGGGGUGCUCUAUUCUAUCUCCAUUUCCAGGGAUGCCCCAGCUCAAGCUGCUGCUCCAACAGGACAGUCCUACACUACAGGUUUUGAUCCAGGCCAAAAGGGGUACGAUUGAUUCUGCAGUGCUCAGAUUCUGGAUGCAGUAUGAGGGGACAUCGUUCCUCUGCAGAUGUUACGGCUGCUGAAAUGAGGAAGAAGGAAAGGAAAGGAAAGGAAGAAAAGAAGGAAGAAAGAAAAGUCAGGAACCUGUUGAGGUUGUAACGACAAGGAAAUAUUCAAGAGGAAGCCUUUCAGAACCUUCAUACACUUGGUGAGAAUGUAAAUUCGUACGACCACUAUGGAGAACACUUUGGAGCUUCUUCAAAAAACUAAAAAUAGAGCUACCAUAUGGGGCGAUCCAGCAAUGCUCCCACUGGGUAGAGACCUGAAAGAAAGGAAAUCAGUAGGACAAAGAGAUAGCUGCACUCCUGUGUUUGCUGCAGCACUGUUCACUAUAGCCAAGAUUUGGAAGCAACCUAAGUGUUUACCAAUAGAUGAAUGCAUAUAGAAAAUGUGGUACAAAUACACAAUGGAGUAUUAUUCAGCCAUAAAAAAGAAUGAGAUCCUGUCAUUUGCAACAACAUAGAUGGAGCUAGGGAUCAUUAAGCUAAGUGAAAUAAGCAAGGCAAAGAAAGACAAGCAUCACAUGUUCUCACUUAUUUGUGGGAUACAAAAAUCAAAACAAUUGAAUUCAUGAACAUAAAGAGUAGAAGGAAGGUUACCAGAGGCUGGGAAGAGUAGUAGCAGGUGAGGGUGAGGUGGGGAUGGUUAAUGUUAAUGGGUACAGAAAAAAAAUAGAAUGAAUAAGACUUACUAUGUGAUAGCACGACAGGUUGACUAUAGUAAUAACUUAAUUGCACAUUUUAAAAUAACCAAAAGAAUAUAAUUGGAUUUUUUGCAACACAAAGGAUAAAUGCUUGAGGGGGUGUAAUUCUCAUUCUCCAUAUGUAAUUAUUACACAUUGCAUGCCGGCAUCAAAGCAUUUCACUUACCCAGUAAAUAUAUACACCUACUAUGUAUCCACAAAAUUAAAAAUAAAAAUUUGUUUAAAGAAUCUUUAAAAAUAAUGGCAAUGACAUAAUCAAAAUACUUCAUAAAUAAUUUAAUAUUGAUUACAUGUGGAAAUACUAUUUUUUAUAUAUUUAGUUAAAUAAAAAAAAUUCCAACUUCAAAAAAAAAAAAAGAAAUCUUUCAUUGUAGGGAAAAGUAGAAACAAAUCCUGAGGAAGACAUAAUUUUAUUGUCAUCUCUGUGGAGAUGUUCACUGAGAGUCUUGAAAAUGAGAUGCUUUCUGGGUAGAAAGAGACCAGAAGGGUGUAUGAUCCCAAGGGCUAAGAGAGUUUUGAGAUAAAAAGAAAUAAUCAGGCUGGGCACAGUGGCUCACGACUGUAAUCCCAGCACUUUGGAAGGCUGAGGCAGGCAGAUCACAAGGUCAGGAGUUCGAGACCAGCCUGACCAACACGGUGAAACCCCAUCUCUACUAAAAAUACAAAAAUUAGCUGGGUUUGGUAGUAUCCGCCUGUAAUCCCAG
RNAcentral lists this long non-coding RNA (3771 nucleotides) under Homo sapiens (human). RNAcentral describes it as "HSALNT0134350". Lineage: Eukaryota; Metazoa; Chordata; Mammalia; Primates; Hominidae. The record is from RNAcentral.